Molecule: ribosomal RNA, 207 nt
Filed under: uncultured bacterium
Lineage: Bacteria
Description: partial 16S ribosomal RNA
Rfam family: Bacterial small subunit ribosomal RNA
Source: RNAcentral
AUUGAACGCUGGCGGCAUGCCUUACACAUGCAAGUCGAACGGCAGCACGGGGGCGAACCCUCGGUGGCGAGUGGCGAACGGGUGAGUAAUGCAUCGGAACGUGCCCAGUAGUGGGGAGUAACUAGUCGAAGAUUAGCUAAUACCGCAUACGACCUAUGGGUGGAAAGACGGGGGAGUUCGCAAGAACCUCGCGCUAUCGGAGCGGCC